RNAcentral lists this ribosomal RNA (393 nucleotides) under uncultured bacterium. RNAcentral describes it as "partial 16S ribosomal RNA". It matches the Rfam family "Bacterial small subunit ribosomal RNA", at positions 523 to 918 of the family's 1533-position model. The record is from RNAcentral.
AUACGGAGGAUCCGAGCGUUAUCCGGAUUUAUUGGGUUUAAAGGGUGCGUAGGCGGCCUUUUAAGUCAGCGGUGAAAGUCUGUGGCUCAACCAUAGAAUUGCCGUUGAAACUGGGGGGCUUGAGUAUGUUUGAGGCAGGCGGAAUGCGUGGUGUAGCGGUGAAAUGCAUAGAUAUCACGCAGAACCCCGAUUGGGAAGGCAGCCUGCCAAGCCAUGACUGACGCUGAUGCACGAAAGCGUGGGGAUCAAACAGGAUUAGAUACCCUGGUAGUCCACGCAGUAAACGAUGAUCACUAGCUGUUUGCGAUACACUGUAAGCGGCACAGCGAAAGCGUUAAGUGAUCCACCUGGGGAGUACGCCGGCAACGGUGAAACUCAAAUGAAUUGACGGGG